UCAAACCAUUUUGCAUGAUGGACCUCUGGAUUCUUGGUUGAGAUGGUGGUGUCGUUUGAAGGUCAAUAACCAAUCCCAUGAAUAAGUCGGAAUUUUGAAGUCAAUUUUAUCCUUCACCGUGAUUUUUACUUAUUCAGGUUGCUGAAAUCUUAAAAGAUCGACCCUAAUGAUUUCGUGCUUGCCAAGCUGUGGAUGUCCUUAAUGCGAUAUCUACUGGAAACGGUGGAACCAUUGAACUUCUUUAUAUGCAGCUCUAUGCCCCUACUACUGUGGCACUAGCUCAUGACUUUUGGCUAUUACACUAUAUGCCUGUGAUGGAAGAUGGCAGUCUCGUUGUCUGUGAAAGAUCGCUGCACAACACUCAGAAUGGUCCCAGUAUGCCACUUGUUCAGCAUUUUGUAAGAGCUGAAAUACUGCCAAGCGGAUACUUGAUCAGACCUUGUGAAGGAGAUGGCUCCAUAAUCCAUAUAGUUGACCACAUAGACUUAGAGCCAUGGGGUGUGCCUGAAGUGACCCGCCCACUAUAUGAACUGUCAACAUUGCUUGCUCAGAAGACAACAAUGGCGGCUUUACACCAAUUAAGACAGAUCUCACAUGAAGUUUCUUAGCCUACUGUCACAGGAUGGGGAAGAAGACCUGCAGCAUUAUGAGCACUCAGCCAAUGAUUGAGCAAGGAUUUCAAUGAGGCUGUAAAUGGUUUUACAGAUGAGGGAUGGUCUAUGCUUGACAGUGAUGGCAUUGAUGAUGUUAUUGUUCUUGUGAACUCUUCUCUCAGCAAAUUGAUGGGACUAAAGUUUCAUCCGUCAGCAAUGUAGUGCCAUGUGCCAAGGCCUCCAUGCUUUUAUAGGUGAAAGCAAUGAUCAUGGAGGUAGAAGUAGAUGAAGAAGAUGGAAGAUUAUGUGAUGGUGAUUUGGAUGGAGGCUUCAAUAUUAUUUUUACUAAAACCCUUGAGCAGCAAAUGGAAUUGUGCCCAACCGCUGAAUGUUAUUUUUCUGUUGGAAGCUUUGUGUUUUUUUUUUUACAGUUAUUUUGGAUUUUGUUCUGUUUUUUCCCUUUGUGUACAUAGAAGUUUUGCUCCAAAGAAAACAUGUGGUGACAUGUUCACUACUAUUGUCCAUGACUUUCCUUUUUUUCCCCAAAAA
This is a non-coding RNA of Coffea arabica (coffee), 1142 nucleotides long. The record is from RefSeq and is a predicted model, not a curated record. Lineage: Eukaryota; Viridiplantae; Streptophyta; Magnoliopsida; Gentianales; Rubiaceae.